This is a non-coding RNA of Paramormyrops kingsleyae, 851 nucleotides long. Lineage: Eukaryota; Metazoa; Chordata; Actinopteri; Osteoglossiformes; Mormyridae. The record is from RefSeq and is a predicted model, not a curated record.
AUUUGGAACAUUGUGGAGUUUCAUGUUCACCGUUUUCCUCCGAUGUCUUUUUUUUGUGGUUAAUGAUAUUUCAGUGUUGAGAUGCGUGCGCUCCCCAGUCCGGAUGCACCGUUAUCCGCAGUUCAGGUGCGCGCUCCUCUCCGAUGGUUACUUCCCACUGGGUUAAACCGGACAGUGAUGCAGAAAACAUGCUCGCUGUUGGCAUGGAAAUGAGGAAAGGGGCUCGUCUUUUAUCUGUGGCAUUGAGGACCCCAAUACAUCAGACCAAGCAGUGUCCCCCACGCCAGUUUGCCUGCAGGAAAAACCUCUGGUGGUUUACUGCAUACCUCAGCAUUUCAUGGAUUUGAACUGAUUAAAUCUCUAUCCUCACAGUGACCACUCAGCUAUACAGGAAGGUAAAAAGAACCAGAUGUUCAUUUGUGGGCCUAAGUUUGUUCCAAGGGCCUGAAUAAAACACUGUCAUGUACACAGAGCGGAGGAGCAUCCCAGCAGGCAUCUGGUGAAUUGCAAAGCCUCUGCGUUACCUCCUUCUGCCACUUGGGGGUGCUGUCUACAUUUCAGAAUGUCCUCUGCGUAUAUCGAAGGGCUGCUUCCCUUACAGCCAAAAAUAUUGUUUGUUGAUUUUUUUUUGUCUUCAUCUGGAAUCAAACUAUGUUAACUGAAGAUAUCUGAAGGUUUUGUCUGCUGAUCUACAUCUACAGUGCACUGAUAUCCUAUGUAGGGUGUACUUUGUGCCCUGUGCAUUCUGAGAUAGGCUUCUGUGCUGCAUAUGUGGUUAUGGAAAAUGAAUAGAUGGAUGAUUCAUAUAUAUUGCGUGUGAUUAGUAUCUUGCCACUUCUGGGACACGUGAG